This is a long non-coding RNA of Dermochelys coriacea (leatherback sea turtle), 1372 nucleotides long. RefSeq lists it as uncharacterized. NCBI's taxonomy places the organism in Eukaryota, Metazoa, Chordata, Testudines, Dermochelyidae. The record is from RefSeq and is a predicted model, not a curated record. The transcript is spliced from 7 exons.
AUUGCAUAUAUAGACUGUGCUGCCUGCCUUGAGAGAGAUGCACCAUCUGCUCUCGAGGACCCUGUUCGUACUCCUGCAGACGUUAGAUAAACAUACUGGGGGAGCAGCAGACAGUUUUCAGUCAUGACGUAUCUGAGCUGUGUUUAAAGUCAAAAGCCGUUAUUUACAGCUUGUGAAGAGAGAGGACUCAUCAUCAAGGGCAAUACAUUAGAUCCAUUGCAGUUUGAAAACAAACACUGCACUAUACAUUGAAAGGGUUCACCUGGCAUCACUUCAGAAUCGGAGUGUGUGUGUAGCUUUUAUGAGAGAAAUCCAAACCAGUUGCAUUAAUAACUGAGACGACACCCCCAAGCCUUCAGAUAAUGAGGGCAGCCAGCCCAGCAGUGGCCCGCGACCUGCUGCCUGGGUAGCAGUGUGGUGGUAGUCGGUUCCAGAGCUGAAGGAAAGGAGUCCAGGGGGGGUACUGCCAGGACUUACAUGCUCACAGGAGUAUCAUGAGACUUCAUGUACUAAGGAUUUGGAAGCGCACUGAGAUACUUGGAUGACAUGAGUGUUAUGGGCUCCCUUCUGCAAGCUGCUCAGCAUUCUCUGCCGGGUCCAGCAAAGCACUAAGCCGACUGAUGCCACCACCAGACAGGUCCCAUCAAAUGUGAACAAACUUCUCCACUGUCUAAUCAGCACACUGACUAAUCAGCACAUCACAGAAUAAACCCUAUUCAAUUCACGGCAGAAGCAGUCUGGCCUAUAGAUGACUAGUCUUUUUAUUGUUGUAUAUUGACACAUCUUGUGCAUCUUCACAACUAGUAUCCAGUUUCUCUGAGUGACAGCUACAUUAAGAUAAUAAACAGAAGCCCAAAUCCUGGUCCCACUGAAGUCAAUAGCUAAAACUGUGACUGUGGUCCUCAACCUUUUCCAUACCGUGAUUCCACGUUACAAUGGAAAAAUGCAUUGGGACCCCCUUUCCCACCUAACCAUAAAUAUUAGAAGGUAGUUGCAACCUCUGGGCCUGUUCAUACCCCCGAGCUAUGGACGAUGGGCUGGCAGCUUUCCAAGGAGUUCAGAGAUCAGCCUAGCUGAGGUGAGAAGCUAGCAAUAACGUUAUGUCCAGCAGCUCUCAAUACAACUCUGCAGACAGCCCCAAAAUUAAUUACACUGGUAUGUGCACAGUGUCACCAAUUGCAACAGUAUUCACAGUUGGUUGUUUUACUAAUGGCCCUCCUAGCCAAUAGGAAUAUAGUAACUGUGUAGUAAUCCAAUUUAGCUCACAUCCUCUGAACAAAUUAACCCUUGGGUUGCUGUAUUAAACUCACCAUGCAAAGCAUGUAUCUAUCAAGUGUCAAAAGAUACGAGGGCAGUCCAAUACCUGACAAAC